Molecule: non-coding RNA, 28 nt
Filed under: Cricetulus griseus (Chinese hamster)
Lineage: Eukaryota; Metazoa; Chordata; Mammalia; Rodentia; Cricetidae
Source: RNAcentral
UUGGGGGAGGUAGAGUAAGAUCCUAGGA